GUAGGGGUACUGUGCGAUCUUUUUCAUGAUGAUGAACAAUGAAAAAAAUUUUAAAAUUUUAUUUGAGAUCUAAAAUAAUGUAUAUUAGAUCUAAAAUUAGAGUUUUAAUCAUUAGAUGAUUGAUUGUGUAAAUAUUUCAUAAAAUUAGAAAUUAUUUUCAAACAUUAAACUCGAACCCAUAUCAACUCAAAACUUAAUUGAGAAUUAAGUGAUCUAGAUUUGAGAAU
Molecule: long non-coding RNA, 227 nt
Filed under: Elaeis guineensis (African oil palm)
Lineage: Eukaryota; Viridiplantae; Streptophyta; Magnoliopsida; Arecales; Arecaceae
Description: long non-coding RNA (EGUI_LNC081477)
Source: RNAcentral